CCCGGGCUGACACAGGAACUGACCUUGUGUCAGUGCUUUUUCAGGGUAACGCUGGGAAAGAAUGCGACGAGAAACCCUGGUGCCCGAGCGCAUUCCCUUUGGAGAAGCAGGUGCCAGCAUGUCUCCGUCACGGGAGAAGGGAAGGUGCCCACAGCUAAAAUACGCCCAGCCGCGGGGCACAUUUUGCCGGUGUGUUUGAGGAGGAGCAGUGUUUCACGGGGCAGACAGCGAUGGAUCAUAUGGGACGGCUGCGCCAAAUGAAGGCAGGCGUAAUUCUGGGGUUGAUGGCAUCGUAUUAGUGCAGCUGUGGUGCAGGAAGCGCUGGCAUAGGUCAUGAUCCCCAUCUUCUGUCAACCCUCAGCAUGUCCAGGUAAAUGUAGCAGGAUCAUGGUGGGAAUAGCCCCUAGCAAUGAACGAUCCCCAUGACUGCGGGCUUGGGAAGUGGGUGCUGUUGAGUACUGAGGGCAAAAAUAACAGUUUUUAGUAACAUAUGUUACUAAAAAAUAAUCUAGGAGGGCAAACUGGAGGCUUCCUCUCCAGAAAAGAAGAGGAAUUCGGAUCUGAGAACACUGUGCUUUGAAUGUUCCAUUAUGGGUGAUUUUGGCUGCGUACUUUGUGAAUUCCAUAGCAGCUUCUCUGAAGUUUGGAUUUUACGAAUUGCUCUUGGUGUCAGUUGAGGUGAGAGGAAGAGCAAAGGUUUGGAUUUUAUAGGUAUUUACACACGCAGAAAGAGAUGACUGUCUAUUAUGUAAUUAAAUAAUCACAUCAUAUUUCUAUGCCCUACAUGUACUUUUUGUGUCUCCUGUGUUGACACCCCAGUGCUGUACGGAAGCAGCGCUGCCGUAGUCAGUUCUUGUGUUGUCUUCCCCAGAUCUGCUUCUUUCCCUGUGUAACUUCAAACCACACCAGUCUGCUCAGCAAUUCCUUGCCUGGUGUGUGCCCUUCCCCUGAGGAGGAGGACUUGGUCUCGGCCUUGUUUAUUCACUGUAGUCAUCUCCAGCGUGGAUUAAAUUUCUCCCCAUCUCUUCUGUCCUUCUUUUCCUUCUUGUGCAAGGCAUGGUGACAAACAGUAACCAAAAGGCUGCCGUGCUUCCAACCAGCGGCUUGACGGCUCGCGCAAGGCACCUCUGGUCCCGUUUCAAGGACGAAAUAUGCCAGUGGUGUUACCAAUGACCAAGAAGAGUUGCAGAAAGGAGCAGAGGGUGACAUGGCCAUAGAUGAAUCUUCUGGGCAUUUGGGCUACUCUGAAAAUGCAUCCGUUCAUUGAGAGGCUGAGUCUGGGUGGUUCCAUUUCGCACCAUUUGGAAUCUUUAUUAGGAGAAGAAUAAAUGAAGGUUGUCCUGUCCUCUUUUGCAUGGCAGAAGAUGUCUUGUAGGGAGAAAAGGUUGGUAUGCCCUGUUGCCGUGGUGUUACUGCUGGAGUCACCUCUGAAACCAUGAGCAUGUUCUUCUCUGAAGUGCAUGUACAUUGCCAUAGCAAAGCAGUAGCCUUACCAUGGGCUUGGUCACCUUGUAAACUGUGUAGAACGGGCUUGUUCAAAUAAUCUGAGUGUAGCGUGGUCUU
Egretta garzetta (little egret) is the source of this 1563-nucleotide long non-coding RNA. RefSeq lists it as uncharacterized. The record is from RefSeq and is a predicted model, not a curated record. The transcript has 4 exons. NCBI's taxonomy places the organism in Eukaryota, Metazoa, Chordata, Aves, Pelecaniformes, Ardeidae.